AGUUUGAUCCUGGCUCAGAUUGAACGCUGGCGGCAGGCCUAACACAUGCAAGUCGAGCGGUAACAGAGAGUAGCUUGCUACUUUGCUGACGAGCGGCGGACGGGUGAGUAAUGCUUGGGAACAUGCCUUGAGGUGGGGGACAACAGUUGGAAACGACUGCUAAUACCGCAUAAUGUCUACGGACCAAAGGGGGCUUCGGCUCUCGCCUUUAGAUUGGCCCAAGUGGGAUUAGCUAGUUGGUGAGGUAAUGGCUCACCAAGGCGACGAUCCCUAGCUGGUUUGAGAGGAUGAUCAGCCACACUGGGACUGAGACACGGCCCAGACUCCUACGGGAGGCAGCAGUGGGGAAUAUUGCACAAUGGGCGCAAGCCUGAUGCAGCCAUGCCGCGUGUGUGAAGAAGGCCUUCGGGUUGUAAAGCACUUUCAGUCAGGAGGAAAGCGUGGUGGUUAAUACCCAUCAUGUGUGACGUUACUGACAGAAGAAGCACCGGCUAACUCCGUGCCAGCAGCCGCGGUAAUACGGAGGGUGCGAGCGUUAAUCGGAAUUACUGGGCGUAAAGCGUACGCAGGCGGUUUGUUAAGCGAGAUGUGAAAGCCCCGGGCUCAACCUGGGAACUGCAUUUCGAACUGGCAAACUAGAGUGUGAUAGAGGGUGGUAGAAUUUCAGGUGUAGCGGUGAAAUGCGUAGAGAUCUGAAGGAAUACCGAUGGCGAAGGCAGCCACCUGGGUCAACACUGACGCUCAUGUACGAAAGCGUGGGGAGCAAACGGGAUUAGAUACCCCGGUAGUCCACGCCGUAAACGAUGUCUACUAGAAGCUCGGAGCCUCGGUUCUGUUUUUCAAAGCUAACGCAUUAAGUAGACCGCCUGGGGAGUACGGCCGCAAGGUUAAAACUCAAAUGAAUUGACGGGGGCCCGCACAAGCGGUGGAGCAUGUGGUUUAAUUCGAUGCAACGCGAAGAACCUUACCUACACUUGACAUACAGAGAACUUACCAGAGAUGGUUUGGUGCCUUCGGGAACUCUGAUA
This 1028-nucleotide ribosomal RNA is filed under the name Pseudoalteromonas sp. BSw21424. RNAcentral's name for it is "bacterial SSU rRNA". It matches the Rfam family "Bacterial small subunit ribosomal RNA", at positions 10 to 1034 of the family's 1533-position model. The record is from RNAcentral. Lineage: Bacteria; Pseudomonadati; Pseudomonadota; Gammaproteobacteria; Alteromonadales; Pseudoalteromonadaceae.